AUUGAACGCUGGCGGCAGGCCUAACACAUGCAAGUCGAGCGGAUGAAGGGAGCUUGCUCCUGGAUUCAGCGGCGGACGGGUGAGUAAUGCCUAGGAAUCUGCCUGGUAGUGGGGGAUAACGUCCGGAAACGGGCGCUAAUACCGCAUACGUCCUGAGGGAGAAAGUGGGGGAUCUUCGGACCUUACGCUAUCAGAUGAGCCUAGGUCGGAUUAGCUAGUUGGUGGGGUAAAGGCCUACCAAGGCGACGAUCCGUAACUGGUCUGAGAGGAUGAUCAGUCACACUGGAACUGAGACACGGUCCAGACUCCUACGGGAGGCAGCAGUGGGGAAUAUUGGACAAUGGGCGAAAGCCUGAUCCAGCCAUGCCGCGUGUGUGAAGAAGGUCUUCGGAUUGUAAAGCACUUUAAGUUGGGAGGAAGGGCAGUAAGUUAAUACCUUGCUGUUUUGACGGUACCAACAGAAUAAGCACCGGCUAACUUCGUG
RNAcentral lists this ribosomal RNA (484 nucleotides) under uncultured bacterium. RNAcentral describes it as "partial 16S ribosomal RNA". It matches the Rfam family "Bacterial small subunit ribosomal RNA", at positions 30 to 507 of the family's 1533-position model. The record is from RNAcentral.